UAAAAAUUUAUUAAUAGUUUAGUUUUCCCGAAUUAAGAAGAGCUAAUUAUUUAUAUAUUUUAUUGUUGAAUAAGUAUUUAAAAUAAAUAAUUAGUGAUGAAACGUCAUUCGUUUUUUAAUUUAUCUGGUUUUUUUAGAAAUAAAUUUAAUUUAAUUAAUUUUUAGUAUAAUUUUAUUUAUUUAAGAUUUUAUAUAAAUUAAUAAAUUAUUUAAGGGAUGAGCUUUAAUUAAAAGUUUUAAAAUAUUAUGUUAGUCUAUUGUUAGUAGAAUUAGAAGUGUUCAAUUUUAUAAUGUAAUAAUUAUCAAUAAUUUAAUUUUUUUUAUAUAAUUUUUAAAUUUUUUAUAAAAAUGAAAUAUAUAAUUUUAUAUAUAUUUGUAAUAAUGAUAAAAUUAGUAUAUAUAUUUGUUUAAUUAAUUGAGAAUUUUAGGUUAAUUAAAGGAAUUCGGCAAAUUUAUUUUCUGCCUGUUUAUUAAAAACAUGUCCUGUUAUGACUUUAAUUUCAGGUUUGGCCUGCCCACUGAAAAUUUAAAUGGCUGCGGUAUUUU
RNAcentral lists this ribosomal RNA (546 nucleotides) under Tersec ergatoides. RNAcentral's name for it is "partial 16S ribosomal RNA". The record is from RNAcentral. Lineage: Eukaryota; Metazoa; Arthropoda; Insecta; Coleoptera; Cerambycidae.